CGGCAAGGGCGGCAGCUACACAUGCAAGUCGAACGGUAGCACAGAGAGCUUGCUCUCGGGUGACGAGUGGCGGACGGGUGAGUAAUGUCUGGGAAACUGCCUGAUGGAGGGGGAUAACUACUGGAAACGGUAGCUAAUACCGCAUAACGUCGCAAGACCAAAGAGGGGGACCUUCGGGCCUCUUGCCAUCAGAUGUGCCCAGAUGGGAUUAGCUAGUAGGUGGGGUAACGGCUCACCUAGGCGACGAUCCCUAGCUGGUCUGAGAGGAUGACCAGCCACACUGGAACUGAGACACGGUCCAGACUCCUACGGGAGGCAGCA
Molecule: ribosomal RNA, 321 nt
Filed under: Klebsiella oxytoca
Lineage: Bacteria; Pseudomonadati; Pseudomonadota; Gammaproteobacteria; Enterobacterales; Enterobacteriaceae
Description: bacterial SSU rRNA
Rfam family: Bacterial small subunit ribosomal RNA
Source: RNAcentral